GUGCCCACUGUGGCAGAACAUAUACUAAAAUUGGAACAAUAUAGAGAAGAUUAGCAUGGCCCCUGUGCAAGGAUAACAUGCAAAUUUGUGAGGCAUUCCAUAUUUAG
Small nuclear RNA from Pipistrellus kuhlii (Kuhl's pipistrelle), 107 nucleotides. The record is from RefSeq and is a predicted model, not a curated record. Lineage: Eukaryota; Metazoa; Chordata; Mammalia; Chiroptera; Vespertilionidae.